Molecule: unclassified non-coding RNA, 264 nt
Filed under: uncultured Penicillium
Lineage: Eukaryota; Fungi; Ascomycota; Eurotiomycetes; Eurotiales; Aspergillaceae
Description: partial contains 5.8S ribosomal RNA, internal transcribed spacer 2, and large subunit ribosomal RNA
Rfam family: 5.8S ribosomal RNA (bases 1-52)
Source: RNAcentral
AACGCACAUUGCGCCCUCUGGUAUUCCGGAGGGCAUGCCUGUCCGAGCGUCAUUGCUGCCCUCAAGCACGGCUUGUGUGUUGGGCCCCGUCCCCCCCGCGCCGGGGGGACGGGCCCGAAAGGCAGCGGCGGCACCGCGUCCGGUCCUCGAGCGUAUGGGGCUUCGUCACCCGCUCUUGUAGGCCCGGCCGGCGCCAGCCGACCCCCAACCUUUAUAUUUUCUCAGGUUGACCUCGGAUCAGGUAGGGAUACCCGCUGAACUUAA